RNAcentral lists this ribosomal RNA (397 nucleotides) under uncultured bacterium. Its description in RNAcentral is "partial 16S ribosomal RNA". It matches the Rfam family "Bacterial small subunit ribosomal RNA", at positions 360 to 773 of the family's 1533-position model. The record is from RNAcentral.
AAUAUUCCGCAAUGGACGAAAGUCUGACGGAGCAAUGCUGCGUGCAGGAUGAAGCCCUNUGGGGUNUNAACUGCUGUCAGGGUUUNACAACAUAAUGAGCAGACCCAAACGAAGGGCCGGCUAACUUCGUUCCACCAGCCGCGGUAAUACGAAGGGCCCGAGCGUUGCGCGGAUUCAUUGGGCUUAAAGGGUGUGUAGGCGGACAGGUAAGUGCUUCGUGAAAGACCAUGGCUCAACCAUGGAAUCGCUGGGAAGACUACUUGUCUUAAGGUCGGCAGAGAUCGUCGGAACUCUAGGUGUAGCGGUGAAAUGCAUAGAUAUCUAGAGGAACGCCAAAGGUGAAAACAGACGUCUGGGCCGAUUCUGACGCUGAGGCACGAAAGCGUGGGUAGCGAAC